GAUGAACGCUGGCGGCGUGCCUAAUACAUGCAAGUCGAGCGAACGGACGAGAAGCUUGCUUCUCUGAUGUUAGCGGCGGACGGGUGAGUAACACGUGGAUGACCUACCUAUAAGACUGGGAUAACUUCGGGAAACCGGAGCUAAUACCGGAUAAUAUUUUGAACCGCAUGGUUCAAAAGUGAAAGACGGUCUUGCUGUCACUUAUAGAUGGAUCCGCGCUGCAUUAGCUAGUUGGUAAGGUAACGGCUUACCAAGGCAACGAUGCAUAGCCGACCUGAGAGGGUGAUCGGCCACACUGGAACUGAGACACGGUCCAGACUCCUACGGGAGGCAGCAGUAGGGAAUCUUCCGCAAUGGGCGAAAGCCUGACGGAGCAACGCCGCGUGAGUGAUGAAGGUCUUCGGAUCGUAAAACUCUGUUAUUAUGGAAGAACAUAUGUGUAAGUAACUGUGCACAUCUUGACGGUACCUAAUCAGAAAGCCACGGCUAACUACGUG
This 497-nucleotide ribosomal RNA is filed under the name uncultured bacterium. RNAcentral describes it as "partial 16S ribosomal RNA". It matches the Rfam family "Bacterial small subunit ribosomal RNA", at positions 28 to 507 of the family's 1533-position model. The record is from RNAcentral.